This 125-nucleotide non-coding RNA is filed under the name unclassified sequences. The record is from RNAcentral.
GUUUUUACUGUGAGAAUCAGUGACAAACAUGUGGGGCUUAUAUCUAAUCAUUUUAGAUGACAGUAUUACUGCCGUCUGAAGGUAGGUGGAGGAGAUUAGUAUUAGUGCAGACGUUAAAAUCAUGU